Molecule: ribosomal RNA, 268 nt
Filed under: uncultured bacterium
Lineage: Bacteria
Description: partial 16S ribosomal RNA
Rfam family: Bacterial small subunit ribosomal RNA
Source: RNAcentral
UACGGAGGGUGCAAGCGUUAUCCGGAUUUAUUGGGUUUAAAGGGUCCGUAGGCGGACUUAUAAGUCAGUGGUGAAAGCCUGUCGCUUAACGAUAGAACUGCCAUUGAUACUGUAAGUCUUGAGUAUAUUUGAGGUAGCUGGAAUAAGUAGUGUAGCGGUGAAAUGCAUAGAUAUUACUUAGAACACCAAUUGCGAAGGCAGGUUACCAAGAUAUAACUGACGCUGAGGGACGAAAGCGGGGGAGCGAACAGGAUUAGACCGUACCGUC